AUAUGGGCCAGUUAUUGGGCCUUUUAAAAUUGUAGAUUACAUUUUCGUUAACUUGGUCAUGUUCGAAAAACUCGGAGUCCUCACGUCAGCGCCGGCGAAAUUCCGGUACUGCUCCGUCUUCUACGUGUAUUGAAGGAAAGUGUGACUGAGAUUGAAGAGUAUUGAUGGGGUCAGAAUUGUGGUAUACAUACAAGUAGAUGAAAAAUGGACCCAAGAGCUAAUCAAUGAGACAUCAAUGACAACAAAAAACCAGCACAAAGAAAAGAAAGCUUGAGGAAAGGCUUGGCUCGAGGAAAACAAUUUCAGAGCAAAACCCAAAAAAAUGAAAAGAAAAGACUCUCAAAGUUUAAGGGACAAGUCAAGGUUCUUCUGCUUCUCUUCUUCAGCUGGCUUCAACAAUUCCUCGCCUCUCUGCCAUAGUUCAGAAGUUGGAAACUCUACUGGAAUCCUUCCUACAUCGAACCUACCGAUGUUUUCACAUGUGGAAGUCAACGGUGGAGCAAUCAUCAUCUGAUGAUGAUUAUAAUGAUUCUCUGUUGAAGUUAGUUUUGCUAUUGCUGGUUGCUGAACUAGUGGUAUCCUUGACCAGUUGAUCUGACCAUACUCACCACCGUAAACGUUAUAUGAACUUGGCUUAUGACUCAUUGAGUGUGCCUGAAUACCCAAGGUUCUGUUGCUGUACUGUCCAUGGAACGGGACCGGAGCAAAACCAUAUGGAUGCCCGAAAGCUGCGGCAGAUGCCAUCCGUUGCCCUCGCUUUGCCAAAGUCCUUUCUCUUUUGUGGGCGUUUUGGUGACCACCAAGCGCCUGUGAGCUGUAGAAUGUUCUUUGACAGUAGUUGCAUGAGAAGAGCUUCUGUUCAGUGGAAGUUGACCCGUUAAAACUCGGAGUGACUACACCUGUCUCUAAGCAGUCGAGGAGAUUGAGUUCUUGAUUGAGCUGUGGUUGACUAGAAUCAUAUCCUGCUAGCAUAAGGUCAAGCUUUAUACCUUCCACUCCUUCUUUUUGGUCAUGAUCAUCUUCUUCUUGUGCUGCUACUGUGUCUAUGUUGUAAUUUUCUAGGCUCAGCUUUGGGGAAUCUGAAAAUUGAAGACUGGUGGAUGCAGAAAUGAUGCAUGAGGAAUCAGAUGAUCUUGGUUUUCCGCUGGAAGAAUCCAUGAGGGGCAAAGAGGGUAUAUAAUUUUCCAGAAGUGGGAGCAGAAGUUGAUGCUAUAUAAGGAAAGUAUAGACUCAGUACAAAUGCUUUUGGAGUUUGUAAUAAGUGGAGAAAAGUAGUAAGAAGAUGAGAGAGAUAGAGAAAGAGAGAUGGGAGCAACUUUCACUUCACAUCAACCUUUUUUUGGGCUGCUUUCUCCUUCAAUACACCAAUCUCUAUUCCCUAUCAUGCAUAAUCUUCUUUAACUUUUUUUUUCCUGUUCUCUCAGUCUAUUGCCUUUAUGUGCUUAAAAGUUCUUCAACAAACAAGUAUACAUGUCAUUUCUUUUUCUUAUACCCAGGUUGAUGCCAAUGACAUGUAGAGUUGGGCUUAAUUCAAGAAAGCCAUCCCAAUGAAUAUUUACUUUUUGUCUUGGACUCCUGAUUCUAAUAGGCCCCAACUCGUCUUCAUUUGGUAUAGUUUUGUAUGCAGCCGCGGAUAUGUACUCUUUUGUAUGAGGAAAAAAGGAUUUGGAGGGGGGAACAAGACAAAAGAAAGCUUGGCAGUUCAAAAGAUCUUCUGAAACUGGGACCGGUUUUAUUUGUUUGGAUGAAACGACAACUUGUUGUAAUAUUCACGGAGUAGAUGAAGAUGACAACAAGUGACAAUGAAAUUGAAAAGGAUGCUCAAUGACAAGAGAGAGAGAUAAGGAGAGAGUGGACCAAGUGAAACUAUUCAGGUAUGUUUGAUGUUUUUGUGUACUUUUGAAACUUCGAGAUGAAAGUGGUCAUCUCUGUUUCCUUUUAGCUUUCCACUGUUUAACUCUCUUUUGUCCUCUUUUCACUUCUUCCUUUUGAAGUUUGCUUCACAUUCACACUCUCCUUCAUCUUUAUAUCCAUUGGAAUCCUUAAUAGUUUGCCGGAUUUUAUGGUUGAAAGGUACGAAACUCCCUUAGGACACAUUCUACUUCACAG
This 2109-nucleotide long non-coding RNA is filed under the name Arabidopsis thaliana (thale cress). Its description in RNAcentral is "[] (AT5G10965)". Lineage: Eukaryota; Viridiplantae; Streptophyta; Magnoliopsida; Brassicales; Brassicaceae. The record is from RNAcentral.